Molecule: small nuclear RNA, 190 nt
Filed under: Castor canadensis (American beaver)
Lineage: Eukaryota; Metazoa; Chordata; Mammalia; Rodentia; Castoridae
Description: U2 spliceosomal RNA (ENSCCNG00000015366.1)
Rfam family: U2 spliceosomal RNA
About the family: U2 is a small nuclear RNA (snRNA) component of the spliceosome (involved in pre-mRNA splicing).
Source: Rfam by way of RNAcentral
AUCUCUUCUUGACCUUUUGGCUAAGAUCAGGUAGAAUAUGUCUUUUUUUUAUCAGUUUAAUAUCUGAUAUGUCUUUUAUCCAAGGAUAACAUAUUAAGUGAAUUUUUGGAGCAGAGAAAUGGACUAGGAUGCUCCAGUCACUUCGUUCAUUGGCCAGGUACUGCAGUACCGCUUGGAAUGUGCACCCCGU